GCAACACCUACUGUCUUACUUGGGUUUCUCUUACCUUGGGUGUGGGGUAUCUCUUCACGACUGCUCCAGCAAAGUGCAGCCAAUGCUCCUUACCUUGGACAAGGGGUAUCUCCUCACCGCCGCCCUAAACCACUUAGACAGCUGCUUAUGCUGCCUUCUUCAUAGGGUUCAGGGUUCUAAUAUGAUCUAUCUUGGUCCCUUCCCCCCACCAAAUGGCCUCAGCCUCAACCACCAGUAUUUUUUUUUUAAUUUAUUUAUUUGGCUGUGCCAGGUCUUAGUUGCAGCAUGCAGGAUCUGGUUCUCUGACCAGAGAGCAAACCCAAGCCCCCUGCACUGGGAGCCGAGAGUCUUAGCCGCUGAACCACCAGGGAAGUUCCUCAACCACCAGUCUUAGUCACCUGUCUCUCCUCAGUAGGAAAGCUUUAAACAUCUAAGACAUCAUUUGAUUUAUCAACAUCGUUGCUUCUGCAAUGUGUAAGCCUGGUUUGGGCACAGGGACGAAGGAGAUACAGCAGCACAGGACUUCUGUCACUCAAGUGCCCAAGGAAAAAGGACUUCCCUUCAGUUUACAGAAGAGUAAGGUGGCUGUCAGAAAUGCAUGAAAUUAGGACUCAGCCACUUACUAGUGAAAUGCAAACCCAAACUACUGUAUUACCUGUAAAUUCACCAAAAAUGACUGAUACCAAGGAUGAUGGGAAUGUGAGUGAAGGGGGCAUCAUUCUCCACUGGUGGGAAUGCAAACUUGCAAAACCACUUCGGGGAAGAGUCUGGCCUCACGCGGCAGAGCCGGGUGCACACUCUGGCUCAGCAGCCUGGGCUGCAGCAGGAUGUGCAGUGCACACUCUGGUUGCCAUGGAGCUGUGCGAUGGGGCGGCCCCAGCGUUUCCACUCCUCAGCAGGCCAUCUUUAGCAGAAGUCAGCAAACUAUGGGACUAUAGCCCAAAUCCAGCCUGCCAUCUGCUGUUGUUUCAAGUUUGCAGCACAGUCAUGUUAUUUGUUGACAUCUGGUCAUGGUUGCUUUUAUGAUACAAUGGCGGAGUUGGACAGCUGGGAGAGACAAGGACUAUCUGGCUUGUAAAGUUCCAUAUAUUUACUAUCUUCCUAUUUACAGAAAAUCUGCGCCCAACUUCCAGUCUGGAGGAUCUCUUGCCUAUGGGAAUCAGGCGAUGGUAUGACACUUGGGGCUUCCCUCCUGGCUCAAGUGGUAAAGAACCUGCCUGCCAGUGCAGGAGAUAUUCUGUAUACAAGUGGUAUCAUAUAAUAUUUCACUUCCUCUGUCGGACUUACAUCACUCAGUAUGACAAUUUCUAGGUCCAUCCGUGUUGUGCAGCCUGGUUUUGAGUGGGUAUCCAGGAAGGAAAGCCUGUAGUAGCGUGGCCCCACUUCGACAGUAAUGCUUGAAGAAAGUGCAGUUGCAUGGCCCACGCAAAGCCAGUGAAACUCACUGGAAGGCUGAAUCUCAGAGCAUAUCUCCGGAACACCUGCUUCAGACUCACCUGGCUGAUGGAGGGGUGUGGAGGGGGGAGGCUGGCGGCCAACUGGAGGAACCAAAUUUUCAUGGCCCCAAGGAAAGAAUCCCAAGGCUCAGAUUUCAGGCCUGCACCUUGAAAAACCACCCGCUCUGAAAACUGGCCAUUUCCCACCAAUUUGCUUCUGAAACACCACCCCCUGUGAUUCACGUUCUAUAAAUUGUUGUACAUACUGUUUACUUCCACAAGAGACCACUCUUGCUUCACUUUUCCUUAUGGUGUCUUAAAAAAAUACAGUCUUAGCCACCAGUGGUACAGGGGAAAAAAAAAAAUAGUGUUUGGCAGGUUUUAAACACAGUGUGCAAAAGUGUAAUUUCAGGGUCCUUGGGAAACAUAUCAGAUUCUUGGCGUGUGCUGCUCAUUGACAUAUGAAUGACAGUGACGACAACUGGGCAUCUCUGUAGGACCUCCUCUCAGGACCAAACUUUUUCAUAUAUAUCAUUCAGUUAAGACUCACAGGGGUAUGUGUCUUGGGGUUGCUGUUUUCCAGACAGUGAAACUGGGGAAACACCAUGAGUCAGAGUCAGGGGAUGACACUUCAGAACAAGGGGAAGUAAGAACCGUGGAACCGUGGAAACUUCCACCCCAGGCCUUCCUCAGGGUUCAGGUGGGUGGUUUGACUUUCAGCUUGAAUAUGAAGUUGGGCAGGUACGUUGUUCUGUGGAAAGCUUGGGUGGCAGGGGGUCUCUCAGUGUCCAGGGAGUUUCCCAGACCACCACUUCCUCCGUUUGUCCCUCUUCACAGUCUCUCACCAACAGUCUUCACUCUGGAUGCUAGAAGCUUCUGAGUCCUUGAGCCUCCUGCUUGUUACUGCCUGCCUUGUUUCCAUUAUCCCACAUGGCAGACAGAAGGCAGUAUUUGGAAUCAAUAUGUUGGGUUUGAUUCUGGCUUCUUAUUAGCUGGGCUAGGCAAUGGCACCCCACUCCAGUACUCUUGCCUGGAGAAUCCCAGGGACGGCGGAGCCUGGUGGGCUGCAGUCUAUGGGGUCGCACAGAGUCGGACACAACUCAAGUGAUUUAGCAGCAGCAACAGCAGCUAUUGUUAGUAAACAUCUCUGACCCUUAGUGUCUUCAGAUCUGUAAAAGGGGGCUAAUUAUACCCAUCUCAUAGGUUCUGGCAGGGAUUCAAGCAAUUGUGUGUGUAAAGGGCCUGGCAUGCUGUGGAUGCCUCUGCUUAACAAAUCCUUUCCUUUCUUCUGCUCUUGCGUAUAUCAGCUGUUUCUAUGGUUGUAUCGCCUGAUUCUAAGAGAACUCAGGGAAUUCUUAUUACUGACUAGUUACAUUCAAGUACCACCCAGCAGUCCUUGAUGCAGUGGGUCUCCUAUUUAAAUAAGAACCUGUUGAAUUUGGAGAUGCCAGGCCAGGCCUCUGUUGGGAUGUCCCUCAGGAGAGCAUGGCUGGACCAUGGGUCCUCCUGUCACCUCCAGCCCUGGUACCUGGCUGAGCCAUCCAGGUCACCCUCACCAAUAUGGGCAGAUGUCAUCCAAUCCACAGCAGGCCUGAUUAGCAUAAAAGGGCAGAGAAGCUGCAAAUUCGCUCUCUGCAGGGUAAAGUCAUCCAUCUUUCUCUGCCUUGGACCUCAGUGCUGCUGUUUCUUGGGUUUUAUAAGUCAUCUUCAGGGACGUACACCACUGGCUGCCUUGGUUCUUGGGCCUUAGAACUUGGACUGGCCUUAGAACACCGGCCUCCCGCAUCUCUGUCUUGUGGCUGACAGGUCCUGUGAUGUCUCAGCUUCCAUAACCAGGUUCAGUUCAGUCACUCAGUCAUGUCCGACUCUGUGACCCCAUGGACUGCAGCAUGCCAGGC
Molecule: long non-coding RNA, 3334 nt
Organism: Bubalus bubalis (water buffalo)
Lineage: Eukaryota; Metazoa; Chordata; Mammalia; Artiodactyla; Bovidae
Exons: 3
Source: RefSeq, a predicted model, not a curated record